RNAcentral lists this long non-coding RNA (623 nucleotides) under Pan troglodytes (chimpanzee). RNAcentral's name for it is "long non-coding RNA NONPTRT013989". The record is from RNAcentral. Lineage: Eukaryota; Metazoa; Chordata; Mammalia; Primates; Hominidae.
CAUGAAACAAAUAUUCAAAAGAAUAAGUACGUCAUACAAACUCUUGCUACAGAAGGAAAGAAUAAAGUGUUAUCAGUACAUGUAAUAGAGGGAGAUGUCUGGUAGCAUUGAAGAUAUCCCCGGCAAGGAUGAGAUUUGAACUGAAAUAUGAAAGAAGAGAGAGAGUUGAAUUAAACAGCAUAGAGAAGGGAAAAGUGAAAAAUUCUAAGAGUGAACUGUAUGUUCCAAAGCUCUAUGGUAGGAUAAAAGCAUGGCACAUUUAAGAAAUGGAAGGAAAGCCCACGUGUCUGAAGGAGAGAAACAGAGGAAGAGGAAGGUCAAGGCAUUGAAUAAGAAGAGCAGACCCCAGAGUUCAAGUGUCAUGCGGCCUUGCUGUAGACCUGCGUGCCAACGGUGACAGAGAAGGAAAUAGUGACUGGGUUGCCCAAGAGGUGAUUUACUUUGAAGAGCAUCUGGUUAGGAGGAACUCAUCUCAGUGAGGGAUAAAAGUUGUUUCUAACCGACUGAAAGCAAAUCAUUCAGGAUUUUCCGGUACAAAACAAUAUGAAUUUAUUAGCAGAUCGAUGGUAAGUUUGAAAACACAUGAGGACCCUGACACAAAGUCCUGAUAAGACCAAAGAAGC